RNAcentral lists this ribosomal RNA (497 nucleotides) under uncultured bacterium. RNAcentral's name for it is "partial 16S ribosomal RNA". It matches the Rfam family "Bacterial small subunit ribosomal RNA", at positions 28 to 507 of the family's 1533-position model. The record is from RNAcentral.
GAUGAACGCUGGCGGCGUGCCUAAUACAUGCAAGUCGAGCGAACGGACGAGAAGCUUGCUUCUCUGAUGCUAGCGGCGGACGGGUGAGUAACACGUGGAUAACCUACCUAUAAGACUGGGACAACUUCGGGAAACCGGAGCUAAUACCGGAUAAUAUUUUGAACCGCAUGGUUCAAAAGUGAAAGACGGUCUUGCUGUCACUUAUAGAUGGAUCCGCGCUGCAUUAGCUAGUUGGUAAGGUAACGGCUUACCAAGGCAACGAUGCAUAGCCGACCUGAGAGGGUGAUCGGCCACACUGGAACUGAGACACGGUCCAGACUCCUACGGGAGGCAGCAGUAGGGAAUCUUCCGCAAUGGGCGAAAGCCUGACGGAGCAACGCCGCGUGAGUGAUGAAGGUCUUCGGAUCGUAAAACUCUGUUAUUAGGGAAGAACAUAUGUGUAAGUAACUGUGCACAUCUUGACGGUACCUAAUCAGAAAGCCACGGCUAACUACGUG